This 483-nucleotide ribosomal RNA is filed under the name uncultured bacterium. Its description in RNAcentral is "partial 16S ribosomal RNA". It matches the Rfam family "Bacterial small subunit ribosomal RNA", at positions 28 to 523 of the family's 1533-position model. The record is from RNAcentral.
GACGAACGCUGGCGGCGUGCUUAACACAUGCAAGUCGAACGAUGAAGCUGGAGCUUGCUCCGGUGGAUUAGUGGCGAACGGGUGAGUAACACGUGAGCAAUCUGCCCUUGACUCUGGGAUAACUGCGGGAAACUGUAGCUAAUACCGGAUACGAGGCUCGAAGGCAUCUUCGGGUCUGGAAGGAAUUUCGGUCAAGGAUGAGCUCGCGGCCUAUCAGCUUGUUGGUGAGGUAAUGGCUCACCAAGGCGACGACGGGUAGCCGGCCUGAGAGGGUGACCGGCCACACUGGGACUGAGACACGGCCCAGACUCCUGCGGGAGGCAGUAGUGGGGAAUAUUGCACAAUGGGCGAAAGCCUGAUUCAGCAACGCCGCGUGAGGGAUGAAGGCCUUCGGGUUGUAAACCUCUUUUAGCAGGGAAGAAGCGAAAGUGACGGUACCUGCAGAAAAAGCACCGGCUAACUACGUGCCAGCCGCCGCCGUAA